AAACCAACAGGGAUUGCCUCAGUAGCGGCGAGUGAAGCGGCAAGAGCUCAGAUUUGAAAUCUCACCUAGUGUGCGAGUUGUAAAUUGCAGGUUGGAGUCUCGGGUUAGACGUGUGUGCAAGUCCCUUGGAACAGGGUGCCACUGAGGGUGAGAGCCCCGUAGCGUGCAUGUCGACACCUGUGAGGCCCUUCUGACGAGUCGAGUUGUUUGGGAAUGCAGCUCUAAGUGGGUGGUAAAUUCCAUCUAAGGCUAAAUAUUGGCGAGAGACCGAUAGCGAACAAGUACUGUGAAGGAAAGAUGAAAAGCACUUUGAAAAGAGAGUGAAACAGCACGUGAAAUUGUUGAAAGGGAAGGGUAUUGGGCUCGACAUGGGAUUUACGCAUCGUUGCCUCUCGUGGGCGGCGCUCUGGGUUUUUCCUGGGCCAGCAUCGGUUUUCGUUGCAGGAUAAGGACAAUUGGAAUGUGGCUCCUCGGAGUGUUAUAGCCUUUUGUAGAUGCUGCGUAUGGGGACCGAGGGCUGCGGCGGACUCGUUUCGUCUCGGAUGCUGGCACAACGGCGCAAUACCGCCCGUCUUGAAA
Molecule: ribosomal RNA, 579 nt
Filed under: Pichia sp. YS 10F
Lineage: Eukaryota; Fungi; Ascomycota; Pichiomycetes; Pichiales; Pichiaceae
Description: eukaryotic LSU rRNA
Rfam family: Eukaryotic large subunit ribosomal RNA
Source: RNAcentral